This 193-nucleotide ribosomal RNA is filed under the name Paenibacillus helianthi. RNAcentral's name for it is "Paenibacillus sp. P26E partial 16S ribosomal RNA". It matches the Rfam family "Bacterial small subunit ribosomal RNA", at positions 1352 to 1533 of the family's 1533-position model. Lineage: Bacteria; Bacillati; Bacillota; Bacilli; Caryophanales; Paenibacillaceae. The record is from RNAcentral.
GCAUGCCGCGGUGAAUACGUUCCCGGGUCUUGUACACACCGCCCGUCACACCACGAGAGUUUACAACACCCGAAGUCGGUGGGGUAACCCGCAAGGGGGCCAGCCGCCGAAGGUGGGGUAGAUGAUUGGGGUGAAGUCGUAACAAGGUAGCCGUAUCGGAAGGUGCGGCUGGAUCACCUCCUUUCUAUGGAGA